AACGAACGCUGGCGGCGUGUCUUAAGCAUGCAAGUCGUGCGGCAAGGGUAGCAAUACCCCUAGAGCGGCGGACUGGUGAGUAACGCGUGGGUGAUCUACCCUUGGGAUGGGGAUAGCCACUAGAAAUAGUGGGUAAUACCGAAUACGUUCCCCCGAUUUUGAUUAGGGGAGGAAAAGCGCUUCGGCGCUGCCCGAGGAUGAGCCCGCGUCCCAUUAGCUAGUUGGUGAGGUAACGGCCCACCAAGGCGAUGAUGGGUAGGCGGCUUGAGAGGGUGUACGCCCACACUGGGACUGAGAUACGGCCCAGACUCCUACGGGAGGCAGCAGCUAAGAAUAUUCCGCAAUGGACGAAAGUCUGACGGAGCGACGCCGCGUGGAUGACGAAGGCCGAAAGGUUGUAAAGUCCUUUUGUUGGGGAAGAAUAAGCGCGGGAGGGAAUGCCCGCGUGAUGACAUGAACCGACGAAUAAGCCCCGGCUAACUACGUGCCAGCAGCCGCAGUAA
Molecule: ribosomal RNA, 503 nt
Filed under: uncultured bacterium
Lineage: Bacteria
Description: partial 16S ribosomal RNA
Rfam family: Bacterial small subunit ribosomal RNA
Source: RNAcentral